This 588-nucleotide ribosomal RNA is filed under the name uncultured bacterium. Its description in RNAcentral is "bacterial SSU rRNA". It matches the Rfam family "Bacterial small subunit ribosomal RNA", at positions 338 to 916 of the family's 1533-position model. The record is from RNAcentral.
CCUACGGGAGGCAGCAGUGAGGAAUAUUGCGCAAUGGGGGAAACCCUGACGCAGCGACGCCGCGUGAGUGAGGAAGGUCUUCGGAUCGUAAAGCUCUGUCAGAAGGGAAGAAGUGUUAUAUGGUUAACACCCGUAUAAUUUGACGGUACCUUCAGAGGAAGCACCGGCUAACUCCGUGCCAGCAGCCGCGGUAAUACGGAGGGUGCGAGCGUUGUUCGGAAUUACUGGGCGUAAAGGGCGCGUAGGCGGCCUGAUUAGUCAGAUGUGAAAGUCCACGGCUCAACCGUGGAAGUGCAUUUGAAACUGUCAGGCUUGAGUAUCGGAGGGGAAAGUGGAAUUCCCGGUGUAGAGGUGAAAUUCGUAGAGAUCGGGAGGAACACCGGUGGCGAAGGCGACUUUCUGGACGAAUACUGACGCUGAGGCGCGAAAGCGUGGGGAGCAAACAGGAUUAGAUACCCUGGUAGUCCACGCCGUAAACGAUGUGAACUAGGGAUAGGGGGUGUUGAUCCCUUCUGUCCCGCAGCUAACGCAUUAAGUUCACCGCCUGGGGAGUACGGUCGCAAGAUUAAAACUCAAAUGAAUUGACGG